UGGGGAGUUUGGCUGGGGCGG
This 21-nucleotide small nuclear RNA is filed under the name Arabidopsis thaliana (thale cress). RNAcentral's name for it is "snRNA_09188". Lineage: Eukaryota; Viridiplantae; Streptophyta; Magnoliopsida; Brassicales; Brassicaceae. The record is from RNAcentral.